Acipenser ruthenus (sterlet) is the source of this 407-nucleotide long non-coding RNA. RefSeq lists it as uncharacterized. The transcript has 2 exons. NCBI's taxonomy places the organism in Eukaryota, Metazoa, Chordata, Actinopteri, Acipenseriformes, Acipenseridae. The record is from RefSeq and is a predicted model, not a curated record.
CAGCUAACUUGAGAAAAUGUGCGUUUGCCAAGACAGAGACUCAAUAUUUGGGAUUUGUAAUGGGAAAUGGAAGGGUGAAACCUGUGGUCACCAAAAUCCAGGCUUUGGUUGAUGCAGCGAUCCCCAAAACCAAGACUCAGACAGCUAAAGCACAUCCGGAGCUGUCGCCGUGGGCCAGCACAAACCGGAUCACCACCUCACAACUGUCACCGAAUAAAAAGUGUAUUCAUUCACCACCAGCACGACUGCACGCACCCGGGACGGGUGAACGUGUUUUUGUUUUGUUAUUCAGGACUGUAACCUGUCGUUUCAUCCCCGCGCUCUACACAUCGUUGUGUAUUGCCGGGGCUUAUUAUUUACGGUCGCUAGACCAGGAUUUAAAAUAAAUAAAAACAUUUGUCACUGGA